This 658-nucleotide ribosomal RNA is filed under the name uncultured Lachnospiraceae bacterium. RNAcentral describes it as "bacterial SSU rRNA". It matches the Rfam family "Bacterial small subunit ribosomal RNA", at positions 61 to 719 of the family's 1533-position model. The record is from RNAcentral. Lineage: Bacteria; Bacillati; Bacillota; Clostridia; Lachnospirales; Lachnospiraceae.
GUCGAGCGAAGCGGUUUCGAUGAAGUUUUCGGAUGGAUUUGAGAUUGACUUAGCGGCGGACGGGUGAGUAACGCGUGGGUAACCUGCCUUACACUGGGGGAUAACAGUUAGAAAUGACUGCUAAUACCGCAUAAGCGCACAGGGCCGCAUGGUCUGGUGUGAAAAACUCCGGUGGUGUAAGAUGGACCCGCGUCUGAUUAGGUAGUUGGUGGGGUAACGGCCCACCAAGCCGACGAUCAGUAGCCGACCUGAGAGGGUGACCGGCCACAUUGGGACUGAGACACGGCCCAAACUCCUACGGGAGGCAGCAGUGGGGAAUAUUGGACAAUGGGCGAAAGCCUGAUCCAGCGACGCCGCGUGAGUGAAGAAGUAUUUCGGUAUGUAAAGCUCUAUCAGCAGGGAAGAAAAUGACGGUACCUGACUAAGAAGCCCCGGCUAACUACGUGCCAGCAGCCGCGGUAAUACGUAGGGGGCAAGCGUUAUCCGGAUUUACUGGGUGUAAAGGGAGCGUAGACGGUUUAGCAAGUCUGAAGUGAAAGCCCAGGGCUCAACCCCGGUACUGCUUUGGAAACUGUUAGACUUGAGUGCAGGAGAGGUAAGUGGAAUUCCUAGUGUAGCGGUGAAAUGCGUAGAUAUUAGGAGGAACACCAGUGGCGAA